Molecule: ribosomal RNA, 251 nt
Filed under: uncultured prokaryote
Description: partial 16S rRNA
Rfam family: Bacterial small subunit ribosomal RNA
Source: RNAcentral
ACGUAGGGUGCGAGCGUUAAUCGGAAUUACUGGGCGUAAAGCGUGCGCAGGCGGUUGAUUAAGACAGGCGUGAAAUCCCCGGGCUUAACCUGGGAACUGCGCUUGUGACUGGUCAGCUAGAGUACGGCAGAGGGGGGUGGAAUUCCACGUGUAGCAGUGAAAUGCGUAGAGAUGUGGAGGAACACCGAUGGCGAAGGCAGCUCACUGGGCCGAUACUGACGGUCAUGCACGAAAGCGUGGGUAGCAAACAG